Molecule: ribosomal RNA, 200 nt
Filed under: uncultured bacterium
Lineage: Bacteria
Description: partial 16S ribosomal RNA
Rfam family: Bacterial small subunit ribosomal RNA
Source: RNAcentral
AGAGUUUGAUCCUGGCUCAGAAUCAACGCUGGCGGCGCGCUUAACACAUGCAAGUCGAACGAGAAAGUGGAGCAAUCCAUGAGUACAGUGGCGUACGGGUGAGUAACACGUGGGUAAUCUGCCUCUUAGUGGGGAAUAACCCUGGGAAACCGGGGCUAAUACCGCAUAAUCUCGAGAGAGGAAAGUCGCAAGACGCUGAG